UACGGAGGGUGCAAGCGUUAUCCGGAUUCACUGGGUUUAAAGGGCGCGUAGGUGGCCCUGUAAGUCAGUGGUGAAAUCUCCUCGCUUAACGAGGAAAUUGCCAUUGAUACUGCAGGGCUUGAGUACAGUUGCCGUUGGCGGAAUAUGACAUGUAGUGGUGAAAUACUUAGAUAUGUCAUAGAACACCGAUUGCGAAGGCAGCUGACGAAACUGUAACUGACACUGGGGCUCGAAAGUGUGGGGAUCAAACAGG
This 253-nucleotide ribosomal RNA is filed under the name uncultured bacterium. Its description in RNAcentral is "partial 16S ribosomal RNA". It matches the Rfam family "Bacterial small subunit ribosomal RNA", at positions 524 to 776 of the family's 1533-position model. The record is from RNAcentral.